This 253-nucleotide ribosomal RNA is filed under the name uncultured bacterium. RNAcentral describes it as "partial 16S ribosomal RNA". It matches the Rfam family "Bacterial small subunit ribosomal RNA", at positions 524 to 776 of the family's 1533-position model. The record is from RNAcentral.
UACGUAGGGUGCAAGCGUUGUCCGGAAUUAUUGGGCGUAAAGAGCUCGUAGGCGGUCUGUCACGUCGGCUGUGAAAACCCGAGGCUCAACCUCGGGCCUGCAGUCGAUACGGGCAGACUAGAGUUCGGCAGGGGAGACUGGAAUUCCUGGUGUAGCGGUGAAAUGCGCAGAUAUCAGGAGGAACACCGGUGGCGAAGGCGGGUCUCUGGGCCGACACUGACGCUGAGGAGCGAAAGCGUGGGGAGCGAACAGG